This 295-nucleotide ribosomal RNA is filed under the name uncultured bacterium. RNAcentral's name for it is "partial 16S ribosomal RNA". It matches the Rfam family "Bacterial small subunit ribosomal RNA", at positions 505 to 796 of the family's 1533-position model. The record is from RNAcentral.
GUGUCAGCAGCCGCGGUAAGACAUAGGUAGCAAACGUUAUCCGGAAUUAUUGGGCGUAAAGGGUGCGUAGAUGGUGUAAUAAGUUACUGGUGGUAAAUCGAGGCUCAACCUCGUGGAAGCUGGUAAUACUGUUAUACUAGAGUACAGAAGAGGUUAACGGAACUCCAUGUGGAGCGGUAAAAUGCGUAGAUAUAUGGAUGAACAUCAAUAACGGCGAAGGCAGUUAACUAUUCUGUUACUGACAUUGAGGCACGAAAGCGUGGGGAGCAAAAAGGAUUAGAUACCCUCGUAGUCC